Molecule: ribosomal RNA, 208 nt
Filed under: uncultured bacterium
Lineage: Bacteria
Description: partial 16S ribosomal RNA
Rfam family: Bacterial small subunit ribosomal RNA
Source: RNAcentral
CGUGUAGCCGGGCCGACAAGUCAGAUGUGAAAUCCACGGGCUUAACCCGUGAACUGCAUUUGAAACUGUUGGUCUUGAGUAUCGGAGAGGUAACCGGAAUUCCUAGUGUAGCGGUGAAAUGCGUAGAUAUUAGGAAGAACACCAGUGGCGAAGGCGGGUUACUGGACGACAACUGACGGUGAGGCGCGAAAGCGUGGGGAGCAAAACG